UGUCCGAUGGUGUAAUGGUAACACAACUGACUCUGGAUCAGUAGAGUCCAGGUUCGAACCCUGGUCGGACAG
This 72-nucleotide transfer RNA is filed under the name Bacteroidota bacterium. RNAcentral describes it as "tRNA-Gln". It matches the Rfam family "tRNA". Rfam says of the family: Transfer RNA (tRNA) molecules are approximately 80 nucleotides in length. Their secondary structure includes four short double-helical elements and three loops (D, anti-codon, and T loops). Lineage: Bacteria; Pseudomonadati; Bacteroidota. The record is from RNAcentral.